RNAcentral lists this ribosomal RNA (503 nucleotides) under uncultured bacterium. RNAcentral describes it as "partial 16S ribosomal RNA". It matches the Rfam family "Bacterial small subunit ribosomal RNA", at positions 30 to 523 of the family's 1533-position model. The record is from RNAcentral.
AUUGAACGCUGGCGGUAGGCUUAACACAUGCAAGUCGAGCGGGGUGAUGGUGCUUGCACUAUCACUUAGCGGCGGACGGGUGAGUAAUGCUUAGGAAUCUGCCUAUUAGUGGGGGACAACAUCUCGAAAGGGAUGCUAAUACCGCAUACGUCCUACGGGAGAAAGCAGGGGAUCACUUGUGACCUUGCGCUAAUAGAUGAGCCUAAGUCGGAUUAGCUAGGUGGUGGGGUAAAGGCCUACCAAGGCGACGAUCUGUAGCGGGUCUGAGAGGAUGAUCCGCCACGCUGGGACUGAGACACGGCCCAGACUCCUACGGGAGGCAGCAGUGGGGAAUAUUGAACAAUGGGGGGAACCCUGAUCCAGCCAUGCCGCGUGUGUGAAGAAGGCCUUAUGGUUGUAAAGCACUUUAAGCGAGGAGGAGGCUCUUUUGGUUAAUACCCAAGAUGAGUGGACGUUACUCGCAGAAUAAGCGCCGGCUAACUCUGUGCCAGCCGCCGCAGUAA